CCCUAUCUUUGAUCACAAUCUCUUUUAUCACAAUCUGCAUCUUCUACACCCAUUCGAUUAGUUUCAUCUCCUCUCUUCAUGCUUAAAUUCUAUCUCUUUGAAGGCUUACUAUUUGACAAAAAAAUGAAAUUUCAUUCGUUGUUCUUCUUCCUUGGGGUCCUCACAUUUUCAUCAGGCUUGAUUUUUUAUGAUUUUACUGCCUCUUUUGUUCUUCUUCUCUGUUGUUCUUCGUCCUCCCUCUUGCAUGCAAGGUGUUUGAGGUAUUGUUUUCAUUCUCUACUUCUACUAAAUGUCUCUCUUUUCUCUAUACCCAAACCCUUCUCUCUAUUUUUCAGACCCUUUCUCUUCUUCUGCCUCUCCCUCUUCCUCUCUAAGCAGCCAUCCAACUACUUGAUCUAAUCAUCCUCCAAGCACUCUACCUUGACUCUUCUCUGGAGUUUUGAUCUGAUGCAGGUCUCCACUAAAUCAAGGGUCUAGCAUUUCUUGAGUUUCAAUUUGUUGGAGGUUUCCACUAAUCAAGGUAUGGCACGUAAAGCUAACUCGAUCGCUGGAGUUGAUGAGUCAUAAGAAACAUGGAAAUCAGGAGUCAGAAUAACUAAUCUGUCAAAUCUGGAGUUGAUGAGUAUAUGCCUUUUUUAUGGUUCAUCUGGGCACCAAUAUAAUCUUGAGUUGUGAUCAUGGCUAUAUUUUCUGUUGUAGGACCAACCCAAAUAUACUCAUUUUUUGUUAGAUUGAAUGGAUUUUGAUUCCAUUUUGACUUAAUUUUGGGCUUUCAUUUAUUUUUUCUUUUGUAUAUUUUAAUUACUUCCGGUUUUCUUCAUUAUUUCUCUUAUAAGUUCCACUAUUGUUUAGAUUUUUUAUUCUUUUUUUUUAUCAUGCUUUACUAGAGGCUAUGGAGCAACUGAAAUUAGUAGCAAGUUUUGAAAAUAGUCUUAACGAACCUGAUGCCCUUUUCGACAAGCGAGUUCCAGAGCACAAUAUGGAAGACUGAGAGCAUGUAGAAGAAGAUGGUUAGGCAUGAUAAAGAAGAUAAUGUGCUGUUAGGAGCGGAUGGUAUCUUCAAGUACAACACUUAUCUGUGGAAAAAUAUGGCUCUCUUAGAAGGAUAUGCUUUCUAUUUGGUCAUCAGUAUACCUUUAAUUGGAAAUCUUAUUUUUGUUUUUAGUUGCCGCUA
Molecule: long non-coding RNA, 1174 nt
Organism: Lotus japonicus
Lineage: Eukaryota; Viridiplantae; Streptophyta; Magnoliopsida; Fabales; Fabaceae
Exons: 5
Source: RefSeq, a predicted model, not a curated record